UGUCAUAUAGCGCUCGGUCGAGCCACUGUGCUUGAGGUAUUCCUCGGAGGAAACGAGAUUGACUUCCUUAUUACCUGUUUGUUCCGCUAUAACACCCAACAAAGAUGAAGUUUGUUGCUGUGCUGCUCAUGGCAAUCUUCUUGACCAUCUUAAGCUCCGCAGCAGGGAAGAAGGCACUGUCUUCAAGAUCAAGGAACACCGGCAUUCGGAUGAAGAGGGCGACGUGCGUCGGCUGUGGAGGAGGGAAUUUGGCAGCCACCCUCGCGACCCUCUUCGACGGUUCGAAACCAAAAGCUCCGAGUCAAAUGACUGGCCCUCAAGGCUUCGGCCGAAGGAAGAGAAGGUCUCUCCCUCAAGAGAGAAAUCUUCUGGCACUGGUAGCUGGAAGACGGGUGGCAGGUUGAUAAGCAGAAACACAGUGGGCAACUUUGCUCUGGUGAUCACUCCAAUCCCUACACCUCCGCACUCGAAAGAUAAAAAUAAAAACAUUGAUAAGGG
Ornithodoros turicata is the source of this 498-nucleotide long non-coding RNA. RefSeq lists it as uncharacterized. NCBI's taxonomy places the organism in Eukaryota, Metazoa, Arthropoda, Arachnida, Ixodida, Argasidae. The record is from RefSeq and is a predicted model, not a curated record. The transcript has 2 exons.